This is a non-coding RNA of Myotis lucifugus (little brown bat), 76 nucleotides long. The record is from Rfam. NCBI's taxonomy places the organism in Eukaryota, Metazoa, Chordata, Mammalia, Chiroptera, Vespertilionidae.
GGCGGUUCUUGGGUGACGCACCUGGGAAUCAGAGAGGAAGGAGCCUGAUUCCAGGGUGCAUCACCCAAGAACUGCC